UAUUACUGUAAAAAGCAGCUUUUGUGUACGGUGAAGUCCUUUUCAUUUUGACUGCAUGUCUAGUGCUUUUUUCCUUUCUCAUUCUGAUGUUUCUUUUGUCUAGACUGCAGAGAUGAAUGAAAAACUCUCCAAGAUGGGUGAAAGCUCUCUUAGAAACUUUACAAUGGAUACAGAAUCAAGUGUUUAUAACUUUGAAGGAGAAGACUACAGAGAAAAACAAAAGGUAUUUUAGAAAGAGAUUUAGUGGGGCUUGGGUUGUGGCUCAGUGGUAGAGCAUUUGCCUGGCAUAUGUGCAGAACUGGGUUUGAUUCUCAGCACCACAUGUAAAUAAAUAAAACAAAGGUCCAUCAACAGCAACAAAAAAUUAAUUAAAAAAAAAAGAUUUAGUAAUGAAGCUUUGUUUUCCUGGAAACGUGAAUUUUUAAGUGCUAGAUGUAAUACCUUGUAAUUGUGUCUCAAACAGUAGUUUUUUAAUUAGAUGUAUGUAAAUGUAUCUAAAUUUUUUUCAUUAUGGAAAAUUUUACAUUUGUAAGUGCUGAAAUGUUUUUGUAUAUGGUUAUAGUGAAGUAUGUUCUUGCAACAAGAGAAUAUAGUGUUUGGGAUAUUUGAAAAUGAAAAUAAUGUCAAAAAAGUCACAGCUGAUUUUUUUAAACAGACUUGCUUGGUAAUAUGAAAAGGAAUAAUUUCUUAAUUUCAUAAGUAAUACUUGAUUAAUGUAGAAAUUAGAAAAUACCUAUAGAAAAGAAAAUAUAAUUCUACCUAGAGCAUAUCUAGAGUUUUCCUUAUUAACAUUUGGGCACAUAUAUCCCUAGAAGUUUUCCUAGGUUAAAUGUGUUUCUCCAUUUUCCUCCUAAUUUGGGUCAUAGCAAACAUUCUGCAGCAUUUUCUCUCACAUCCAACAGAAUUAUUCAUUUGGGCAAGAAAUACUUCUGAACACCUGUGCUGUUUACUAGACAUUGUCCUGUGUUAAUUACAUGGUAUUCAGCAAAACAUCAUAGUUCCUACCCUCGUCAAAGUGCAGGAUUUUUUUUUUUCAGUAUCUUUUAAUUCAUAAACAUCACUCAAUAAUAAUUUGUUACACUAAUAAUGCAAGUUGAUGAUUUUAAUUGUUUCCCACAUACUAGAUUGCAUUCACAGAGUGGAUUGAACCACCCAAACGCGAAAGAAAAGCCAACUAUGCUGUUGAUGCCUAUUUCAGGGAAGCUCUUCGCGUUAGUGAACCUAAAGCACCUAAAGUGAGUUGACAUAGCAUCAAAGUAUCUUAAAAUCUGAAAAUAUAAAUUAUUAUUUUUUAACAUUCUUGUAAUAAAAUAAGAUUGAAUAUUAUACUUUGUAUGCUUUUUAUAGAAUAUCCUCUUCAGAUUUCAAUUAACACUUGUUAAAAUUAAUUUUUAAGUUGUGUGUUUAAAAUUUGAUUAAUGUCAGUUCAGUUUUAUUGAAAGAUAUACUGAGUUGCUUGGAGAAUUGGCUGUUAUGAUUUAUUUUUCUUUCUUUCUUUUUUUUUUUUUAGGCUCCUCGACCUCCAAAACAACCCAAUGUUCAGGAUUUCCAGUUCUUUCCCCCACGUUUGUUUGAAUUACUG
Molecule: long non-coding RNA, 1582 nt
Filed under: Marmota monax (woodchuck)
Lineage: Eukaryota; Metazoa; Chordata; Mammalia; Rodentia; Sciuridae
Rfam family: tRNA (bases 252-323)
Source: RNAcentral